CCCCACUACUUUGUAUUUGUCCAUCUGCUUUUGAUGGUGUAACUCCAAAUCCAUGUUCCUUAACUGUUCCAUGACGUUCAGGACCUAAAACUCGAGUGACAGCAUCAUCGCGGAUGGAAACUUCGACAGGUGUAUCAUAAAUUGAUAUGACACAAUCUUCAAUCUUUCUUUGCACUUAUGGAACUCUAAUUUUAUUAGUGAUACAACUAAUAAAUCAAAUUAUGCUUCAUUGAACAUUGAUAUAAUACACAUGCCAAAGUAUCGGCAACUACUUCAUUUAUUGGUUUUCCGUCUUUCCUAAGAUAUCCAUGAGUCCAUACUCUUGUUCUUAAUCCUUUUAAAUCUGGAUUCUUUUUUCUCUGCAAUACAAAUUUAGUAAUUACAUAUAUUGAAGUUGUACUAUUCAAGUAAAAAGACAAG
Molecule: long non-coding RNA, 420 nt
Filed under: Olea europaea subsp. europaea
Lineage: Eukaryota; Viridiplantae; Streptophyta; Magnoliopsida; Lamiales; Oleaceae
Source: RNAcentral